RNAcentral lists this ribosomal RNA (497 nucleotides) under uncultured bacterium. Its description in RNAcentral is "partial 16S ribosomal RNA". It matches the Rfam family "Bacterial small subunit ribosomal RNA", at positions 28 to 507 of the family's 1533-position model. The record is from RNAcentral.
GAUGAACGCUGGCGGCGUGCCUAAUACAUGCAAGUCGAGCGAACAGACGAGGAGCUUGCUCCUCUGACGUUAGCGGCGGACGGGUGAGUAACACGUGGAUAACCUACCUAUAAGACUGGGAUAACUUCGGGAAACCGGAGCUAAUACCGGAUAAUAUAUUGAACCGCAUGGUUCAAUAGUGAAAGACGGUUUUGCUGUCACUUAUAGAUGGAUCCGCGCCGCAUUAGCUAGUUGGUAAGGUAACGGCUUACCAAGGCAACGAUGCGGAGCCGACCUGAGAGGGUGGUCCGCCACACUGGAACUGGGACACGGUCCAGACUCCUACGGGAGGCAGCAGUAGGGAAUCUUCCGCAAUGGGCGAAAGCCUGACGGAGCAACGCCGCGUGAGUGAUGAAGGUCUUCGGAUCGUAAAUCUCUGUUAUUAGGGAAGAACAAAUGUGUAAGUAACUAUGCACGUCUUGACGGUACCUAAUCAGAAAGCCACGGCUAACUACGUG